RNAcentral lists this long non-coding RNA (1284 nucleotides) under Cyanistes caeruleus (blue tit). Its description in RNAcentral is "lncRNA (ENSCCEG00000005467.1)". Lineage: Eukaryota; Metazoa; Chordata; Aves; Passeriformes; Paridae. The record is from RNAcentral.
CGGCCGAUCCCUCCCCGGCUGCUCUUUCCCUCCAUCCUCACUCGGAGCAUUCCCUGUUGGAGCCUCCGGAGCCGCUUCUCCGGGGCCUGUCCAUCCCUGGUGGCUCUGACUGUUCACACCAACCGGGAGGAUCCCCCGGAGCCCCCCGGGAUGUGAAAAUGAUCCCGAAAUUCUUUGGUGGGAAUAAUUUCGGAUCUGGGGGGAGCGGGAGGCUCUGGGGGCACAGCGGUGCCGGGGGGCCUGAGGGAGCGGAUUCUGUCCGGGCUCUGGGCUGGGCCUGGGGGCUCUGGGCCUGUCCUGGGGGUUCUGUGCCCACCCUGGGGGCUCUGUGCCCAUCCUGGGGGUUCUGUGCCCACCCUGGGGGUUCUGUGCCCACCCUGGGGUUCUGUGCCCAUCCUGGGGGCUCUGUGCCCACCCUGGGGGCUCUGUGCCCAUCCCAGGGGCUCUGUGCCCACCCUGGGGGCUCUGUGCCGAUCCCAGGCCGUGCCUGGCUCCUGCCCUGGCUCGUUUUGGGAAAAGGCCUCGGGAACGGCGCCGGUGCCGCGUCCUGGCCCAGGCAGAGCCAAUUCCAGGGUUGGGAAUUGGGGAUGGGGGCUGGAGAUCCCAGAAAUCCAACAGCCCCUGGUGGGGUGGGAUGGAUGGAUUUGGGGAUCUUGCAGGGGGUCCCAGCCCGAGCCCGGAUUUUCAGCUCCGCUGCUCUCCCCAAAUCCCACCGAGCCCUCCCUGGAAAUCCGCGCUGGCAGCGGGGACAUCCCGGCAGUUCCCGAGGCAAUUCCCGAGGGCUGGGGGUGUCCCGGCGGGGGGGACUCGAUGCCUUUCCACCAUCAGCGGCCCCGCAAAGCAAUAAAACCACGGAGGGGCCGCGGGGAGCCGCGGGAGCCGCUCGGUGCCAACUGCCCUUAACGUGGGCUCCGGGUCUUUGUAAGCAAUGUCUGUGGAUUACUGUAAAUACGAGCGACAAAUCGGAAAUGACUGCCUUCUCCCUGAUUAUUUUUCUGAGUAAUUCCAGAUGUACUUUAGUCUCUCUACUGUCAAAACUUUUAUAUUGUAAAUCUGAUGCUGGUGGCUUUUUUGGUUAUUUUGGUUUUUGGUUUUUGGGUUUGUUUUUUGUUGGUUUUUUUUUGUAAAAAAGAGACUGAAAAUGAAAAAAAAAAAAAAAAAAAAAAAGAAAAAAAAAAAAAAAAAAGAAAAUAAGAAAAAGGAAAAAAAGUCUGCAUCUCUCUAUGUUGUCAGUUUUAGGCUGUAAAUUCCAACUAUCAAUAAAAGCUCAAAAUUCACGUGCCA